RNAcentral lists this ribosomal RNA (606 nucleotides) under Triticum aestivum (bread wheat). Its description in RNAcentral is "partial small subunit ribosomal RNA". The record is from RNAcentral. Lineage: Eukaryota; Viridiplantae; Streptophyta; Magnoliopsida; Poales; Poaceae.
AUGCUCGGGGGCGAGGGCGGGCUGGAGGCCGACAAGGUUGCCAAGCUCAGGAAUGCUUCCGCAUGGCAGGUCCGUUCGCUCACGGAUUUUCUCAAGGUGAGGCGGUGUCUUCUCUUCUCUCCGUUCAUCUGUAAUAUAGGCCGACAAGGUUGCCAAGGUCAGGAAUGCUGCCGCAUGGCAGGUCCGUUCGCUCAUGGAUUUUCUCAAGAGAUAAUGCGGGUGUCCUCCUUGCUUAAGCACCAACCUGAUGGGGACUUUGAGAGGUUGCCGCCGAUGGCGCGUCCAAACCAGAUGCAUCAUCAUCAGUCGCCCCCAAUGCCUAAUUUCUGUGGAAAUGGUUUUGGCCCGUGGAACCACGGGGCGCAGCCAGAGAGGGUAGGUUUUCCUCAAGGACCCGUGGGUUGGCAAGGAGCACCACAAAGCCCCUCUCCAUACAUUGUCAAGAAGAUUUUGCGGUUGAAGAUACCAACAGAUACUUACCCUAAUGUACGUUCAUUCAUGCUUGCAAGUGUUCUAUUAGUAUGGAAUCAUUAUUUACUCUGCUUGCCAUACUUGUUCAAUUCAAUUUUAUUGGCCGUCUUCUUGGGCCAAGGGGAAACUCGUUGA